GAGUUUGAUCAUGGCUCAGAAUCAACGCUGGCGGCGUGCCUAACACAUGCAAGUCGAACGAGAAAGUGGAGCAAUCCAUGAGUAAAGUGGCGACCGGGUGAGUAACACGUGACUAACCUACCUUCGAGUGGGGGAUAACCUCGGGAAACCGAGGCUAAUACCGCAUAACAUCGCAAGAUCAAAGCAGCAAUGCGCUGGAAGAGGGGGUCGCGGCUGAUUAGCUAGUUGGCGGGGUAACGGCCCACCAAGGCGAAGAUCGGUAUCCGGCCUGAGAGGGCGCACGGACACACUGGAACUGAAACACGGUCCAGACUCCUACGGGAGGCAGCAGUGGGGAAUUUUGCGCAAUGGGGGAAACCCUGACGCAGCAACGCCGCGUGGAGGAUGAAGCCCCUUGGGGCGUAAACUCCUUUCGACCAAGACGAUAAUGACGGUACUGGUGGAAGAAGCACCGGCUAACUCUGUGCCAGCAGCCGCGGUAAUACG
RNAcentral lists this ribosomal RNA (486 nucleotides) under uncultured eubacterium WR8124. RNAcentral describes it as "bacterial SSU rRNA". It matches the Rfam family "Bacterial small subunit ribosomal RNA", at positions 9 to 527 of the family's 1533-position model. The record is from RNAcentral.